AGUGAACGCUGGCGGUAGGCCUAACACAUGCGAGUCGAACGGCAGCACAGUAAGAGCUUGCUCUUACGGGUGGCGAGUGGCGGACGGGUGAGGAAUACAUCGGAAUCUACUUUUUCGUGGGGGAUAACGUAGGGAAACUUACGCUAAUACCGCAUACGACCUACGGGUGAAAGCAGGGGAUCUUCGGACCUUGCGCGAUUGAAUGAGCCGAUGUCGAAUUAGCUAGUUGGCGGGGUAAAGGCCCACCAAGGCGACGAUCCGUAGCUGGUCUGAGAGGAUGAUCAGCCACACUGGAACUGAGACACGGUCCAGACUCCUACGGGAGGCAGCAGUGGGGAAUAUUGGACAAUGGGCGCAAGCCUGAUCCAGCCAUACCGCGUGGGUGAAGAAGGCCUUCGGGUUGUAAAGCCCUUUUGUUGGGAAAGAAAAGCAGCAGGUUAACACCCCGCUGUUCUGACGGUACCCAAAGAAUAAGCACCGGCUAACUUCGUG
This 492-nucleotide ribosomal RNA is filed under the name uncultured bacterium. RNAcentral's name for it is "partial 16S ribosomal RNA". It matches the Rfam family "Bacterial small subunit ribosomal RNA", at positions 29 to 507 of the family's 1533-position model. The record is from RNAcentral.